This is a long non-coding RNA of Chinchilla lanigera (long-tailed chinchilla), 2055 nucleotides long. RefSeq lists it as uncharacterized. The transcript is spliced from 3 exons. NCBI's taxonomy places the organism in Eukaryota, Metazoa, Chordata, Mammalia, Rodentia, Chinchillidae. The record is from RefSeq and is a predicted model, not a curated record.
CACACAUAGAAGGCUUCCCUAUCAGCUGGGGAAAUCCUGGCUCCUCUACAGCAACUGGAAGGAGGGCAGGAGGAGUGGCCCCAGAGGAGAAGUGGACAGAGACACAGAUGUCCACCAGCCUGGAAGAGCAAGGGACUCGAGAGGAAGAGGCAGCACGUUUGCUGGCAGAUGCUCAGAAAGGACAGCGAGCGAUAAGCCCCAUCACAGAGCACAGAUGGUAGCCGCCGUGUCUUAUGUGAGGAAUCACAAGAUUUGGAUUUGAGUUGCAGCUUCCCCACCUACCAGCAAUGACUAAGCAAGUGGCUUAACCUGCCUGCUCCUGGGGCAGGCACUCUGGGCCACUCAGGCUAACCGCUCUCAGGACUACCUUUCCCAUGUGGGUCACACAUUGGAAGGCACAGCCACCUCUUCAGAGUCUCACCCCAACCCUCAGUCACAGAGGGAGGAAGGAGUCAGCUCUGCUCUCCAGCCUAAUGCCAUACGGUCUCAUCUCAGAUGCAAACUCCCUUGUUCGGUACAUGAACAGUGUUAUGAGUCACUUCCCCAGUCUAUGGCUUGCCUUUCCACUCUCUCUGUGAUGGCCUUUGAAGAACAGAAGCCCCUGAUUUUAAUGAAGUUUGCUUUAUCAAUCUUUUCUUUUACAUCUGGUGCUUCCUAUGCCCUGUUUAAGGAAAUCUUUACUUUUCUCAAAAAGUGGGCUGAAAUUUAUCCUAUUUAUCUGACACUGAGUAGGCACUUUAUACUCAGAUGUUCACCAGCUAAGGGGACACUCCUGCUUGUCUUCUCAGGAGAUCACCAACUUAGAACCCAUGAGGAGAGUUUUUCUCUUUUUUCUGGACUCCUCUCAGGCUUUACAGGAUUCACUGAACGUGGUUUCUGAAUCUGUACUCCAGGCACUUGGAAAUAACAAGGCUUGUGCAUCCCUCAGUCUGAGGCAGCAUCUCUGUGAAUAGCACCCCACUCCAUGUCAGGAGCAGCGAUCCCUUCCCAUUUCUGGACCCAAUACCUGACACCCACAAUUUAGAAGAGAAGACAUUUAAUUUCUUUCAGGGUCUCAGAGGGUCCAGUUCACAUCAGCUGACUCCAAGGCAGAGACAUCACAGUGGAAGAGCACAGCAGAACAAAGAUCUUUAGUUCAUAGCAGCUGGGGAACCACACACGGAACAGCGCCAGAGAGAAACAGAUGAGGAACCAGACAGAGACCCCAAGACCACGCCUCUAUGAUCCAGCUAGACACAUCCUGCCCAGUACCUGCUUCUCUCCAAGAACACAAGCUGCCCUGGUUCAUCCUGUGUAAAAUGGCCAUGCUGCCAGCCUGCUCUACCACCUCCAGGCACUGGGCAAGGUGUUUGCCACAUGCUUACUUGCCCAAAAACUUCAGAGGAUGAUCUCCCGUCUCCUGGGUGAGAAGUCUCACCACUGCGCCGGCCACUCCAUCAGCAACAUCUCCAGGGAGAAGACCAUGCUGAAGAUGAGCCCUACAGUCUGAUUGCUUGAGCAGCAAAAUUAAAAAGAAGAGAAAACUGAGGUCCUCUUUGCCAGACUCAAAGUCUUAAAAAAAAAGAACUGGGACCUGGAGACUUGAGAUAGAGACAGUGUCUCGAAAACACUGAACCUUCAGAUCCCCCUGGUUUCUCUCUCUGCCUACUGUGGUCUACUAUUCCUUUCUAGAAUAUUGUUAGACAUGCCUGCCUCACAUCUGUUCAGAAGUCACAAAAUGUGGCAAAUCCAUUCCAAGACAUUGCCUCUUCUCACAAUCUGCCCUCACCUUCCUUCCCUAAUGGCCACCAAAAUAAUAACCAGGAUCAAGUCUCAGCAGAGCCUAACUGUAAAAAUGCUAGCCCUUCCAAGAGAAGGGUUAUUCACCAAGUGACCCAACCAACAAGAUCCCACAAGAAUCACGUAAGCUUAGUUAGAAUUGGUCCUUAACAGUAUUGAACCAAGGGUGAGUAGGGAAGUAGCACAAAUAUAAACCUAGAUAAGAAAUUUCACACUUUGUAAUAAAUUCUGAACAGCUUCUCAAAUAUUUGGGGGGGUCUUUACCAUAACAGGUAA